CAGUAGCCACGGGAAUACAGAGGGUGCAAGCGUUAUCCGGAUUCACUGGGUUUAAAGGGUGCGUAGGCGGAUCUGUAAGUCAGUGGUGAAAUCUCCAGGCUUAACCUGGAAACUGCCGUUGAUACUAUAGGUCUUGAAUUUUGUGGAGGUUAGCGGAAUAUGUCAUGUAGCGGUGAAAUGCAUAGAUAUGACAUAGAUCACCAAUUGCGAAGGCAGCUGGCUACACAACUAUUGACGCUGAGGCACGAAAGCGUGGGGAUCAAACAGGAUUAGAUACCCGCGUAGUCCCUGUCUCUUAUAC
Molecule: ribosomal RNA, 301 nt
Filed under: uncultured bacterium
Lineage: Bacteria
Description: partial 16S ribosomal RNA
Rfam family: Bacterial small subunit ribosomal RNA
Source: RNAcentral